Molecule: long non-coding RNA, 995 nt
Organism: Carassius gibelio (silver crucian carp)
Lineage: Eukaryota; Metazoa; Chordata; Actinopteri; Cypriniformes; Cyprinidae
Exons: 3
Source: RefSeq, a predicted model, not a curated record
CUUAACGACUCAAAAGGUCGUGUGACAACAAGCGACAGAAGGCACACAGAAAGCCUUCUAGCUAAACAUAAAAGACUUGAAGAGGAGACUGUCAUUUCCAAAAUAAUGACUCUCUCCGGCAAAAAGCAGAACAUUUCACCACUGUACACGUGGCUUUUUACAAAACCAAAGCCUGUGGAAAAAUGACGGAAUUCACGACAACAUAAACGGCCAGUUCAGUCAGGAAGGAUUAAUGCGCCUGAGCCCCAAAGGAGAAAUAGCAGUGCCACAAGAAUUUACUUCGUUUUUUUCCUCAGGUUGAUUUCCAAACACAAACGCAGUACUUAUACAAGAGGACAGCAUCCUAUCCACGACCAGUGAUGCUCGCAACUAGUGACUCCCUGCUCGAGCGCCGCCAACUCUAGUGUACAGCUUGAUUCCAGCCAUCAGGGGGCGCUGUAUCCACUAGAAAGAGGCGACGGGCUGAAUAUUAGUGCACGCGCUUCCCCCAGGAACUUAUUUCUGUUUUUUUUUUUUUUUUUUUUUUUUUUCCCUUUAUUAAAACAGAUAGAACAAAACAAUAAUUUUCAAAUAACAAAAAUAGAGACAGAGAACAUUACAACAACAUAAUACAAAAAAAGUGUUUAAAAUAAAUAAAUAAAUAACAUUACCAAAAACAAAGAAGGAUACAGAAAGAGGGCAUUACUCACAUGAAAGAAAAUCUAAACAUUUAACAAGGCAAAGAGUCCAUAAGUCGUGCAUAUUUUACAAGUUCUGAUCGCUUUUGGGUUAAGAGAUGAUGAGAUUGUAUUUAAAUAAUGUUUUAUCUCAUGCAAAAAUACCAAAUGAAUUGGUUUACAGUUUGAGAAUUUACAUUUAUGAAUAUAAAAUCUGCACAGGAAAAUAAUUAGAUUUAUUAUAAAGCAGGCAUUAGAAUCCGUUACAAAAAAUCCAAAUAUAACAAUUUGGGGAUUCAUACAAAAAUUAACAAACUUAUUUCAGGGCAUUAGUUUGCU